Corvus hawaiiensis (hawaiian crow) is the source of this 2306-nucleotide long non-coding RNA. RefSeq lists it as uncharacterized. The transcript is spliced from 3 exons. The record is from RefSeq and is a predicted model, not a curated record. Lineage: Eukaryota; Metazoa; Chordata; Aves; Passeriformes; Corvidae.
UGACCCCGCCCGCCAUUACCGGCACGGAGGCGCUGCCUCGCCGGGCGCGUGGUGUCGUCGGGGUUCCCGAGGCGCCCCAGACCCGCAAUGCCCAGCAUCGUGCUCGUCCCCUUCCCCCGCGCCGGGCACCGCGGUCACGGUGCCCCGAGUGGUGGCUGCCGGUGGCGAAUCUGCGGCGCAGGACGGGCGCGCAGGGGGGUCGGUGGACGCCUCGUGCCCGCUGCGCUUUAGCGCCUCCUCCCCCUCACGGGCGGCGCGCGGCGCCUGAGGGGAUUUUGGCGCCUUUUUCCCCUCACGGGCGGCGCGCGGCCCCUGAGGGGAUUUUGGCGCCUUUUUCCCCUCACGGGCGGCGCGCGGCCCCUGAGGGGAUUUUGGCGCCUUUUUCCCCUCAGGGGAGGCGCGCGGUCCCUGAGGCGCUCCGGGCCCCGCGCUGCCGUGAGGCGACGGGAAAACGCUGCAGGGUCGUGUCCGAGCCCGAAUAAUAUCCCGUAAAGGUAGCGAUGGAGUCAGGUGAACCGUCCGUCAGUGCCGGGGGAUCCUGGUCUCUGCACAGUGUGGUGCCGAAAUGGCGGUUUAGGAUGGCAGCGCUUCCAGAGGUGGUUGAGUGGAGCAGGACGAGCUCUGAGGGCAGCGGGAAGGUGCCGGUGUGUGGGAGAAGGCCAGACGAAGGGGGAUGGCGUUAGGGACGGCUGAGGAGGCAGCGAGAUGGACCCCGGGAAAUAAAUAUUAUAAUGUAUGAUAAUUGUCAACUAAAUCAGCGUGACAAGUCAAAACACUCUGCUGCUGAAUCACACAGGAUUGUAAAUUAACCAGUAGUUUGGGAGCAGUGGAAUUGUCCACAAUUCCUUGCAGAAAUCAGCAAAGGUAUCACACAAAGGUAAAACCCUCCCAAAUAUCAAACAAGGUGAACCGUGUGGCUCUGAGGGUAUGAGGAGGAUGAAGAGUUCCAGACCUCAGCAUUCAGCUUUAAGAGCCUUUUACACUGAAAAUUAUCGAAGUGACUGAAAUAAAUAUGAAAACUUUGACAGUGAAACUUGAAAGUUGGACGUUGAACGUUUGACGUUGAAAUUGAAUGUCUGGCAUUGAAAUGCUCUCACGUGGCCAAUAAGAUAUAUUUCUAGACAUUCACGAGGGAGAAUUUGGGUGGAUCUGAAGGAAAGCCAAGGGGGAUGGUACCUGCCUAACCCGAAAGGAUGAUAGAAGGUGAAAAGAAGAAAAACUAACUCAACAUGGGUUGCUGCAAGUUGGUCUUGAUGCCUAGAGUUCCACUGGCCCAGUUUGUGUUCAUGCUUAAAUAAACUUACUUUUAUGAGCAAAUAAAGAGACAAGAGCUCUGCCCUCAUCUGCUUAGACUCUGCUGUCUGUGCCCACAAUGGACAUUUGUUGACAUGCAGCAGAAUAAUCUGUGACUUCAAUUUUAUAUUAAAGCAAGAGUUGAAAAGCUUCCUCAGCCAGCAAAAAUACGUCACACUAGUUCACCAGCUUCACUGGGCAGGAAAUGGUAAAGAAAAGGUGUAAACGGAACACCUGGCUAUGAGAUCCCUGAAGGCUAAAGAUCUGCCCUGGUUAUGGUCAGCUCAUCCAGGACUCUGCGCAGACCAUUGAUGUCGGCCUCCACACUCUGCCGAAGAGCCACUUCAUUCUCAUAUCUGUGCAUAAAGGGAUUAAAUAUUAUUUCUUACAUGUCCAAUGAGGUGAAAUGCAAACUAUUAAUGUAUUUUAUUUUAGUUUUAAUACGAAAUCUUAAUACACAAAAUUAUUAUAGCAUUGUUUAGUAAUUGUCUUACAAGUAUUCUACAAGGAAAGAGAUGUUAAUACAAAAGAAUUUUUUCCUUAUGAUAUUGGUAAGAGUUUUUGUAGCAUUAAGAUAUCCUUACUUCAGUCUGAAGUCAUCAGCAGCGAGUCUGGCAUUAUCAACCUGCAGAAUGAUCCUCGCGUUGUCGAUGGUUGCAUUGAUGAUCUAGAAUACAGUGUUCAGAGAAUAUUGUUACGGCCCAAAGGCUUCAUGGUUUUGUAAUGGCUUUAAACUUUGUGUUCUACAAGGGUUUGUAGAACUGCAUUCCAACACUGCCUUUUCCUUCAUUCAGAUUAGACAAAUCACUGUAUGACACAGCUACAGAGCUGCUUUAAUGUACAGGAAAAAUUCAGCACAUGUCACCAGUGCAAGGUGACAGAGGUGACUCCAAGCAUCAGUACCAAAGGAUAAAUGUGCUCUUGGUUUCCGAAAGAAAUUUGUCAUUUUCAUUCAUACUAUUAAGUGAGUUACAAAUAUAAAGAUCCAUUAAAUACAUUGCUUUGCUACCUUG